CCUACGGGAGGCAGCAGUGAGGAAUAUUGCACAAUGGACGCAACCCUGAUCCAGCCACGCCGCGUGAAGGAAGACGGCUCUAUGUGUGGUAAGCUGCAUCUGUACGACGGUAAACGCAGAUACCCGUAUCAGUCUGAAAGUCUCGUACGAAUAAGGAUCGCCUAACUCUGGGCCAGCAGCCGCGGUAAUACGGAGGGUUCAAGCGUGAACCGGAUUUAAUGGGUUAAAAGGGGGCGUAGGCGGUGGGAGAAGGUUGGGGUGAAACCCCGGGGCUCAACUUCGGAAUUGCCUCUGAUGCUGUGCGGCUAGAGAGUAGUUGCGGUAGGCGGAAUGUAUGGUGUAGCGGUGAAAUGCGUAGAGAUCAUACAGAACACCGGUGGCGAAGGCAGCUUACCGGACUGUUACUGACGUUGAGGCACGAAAGCGUGGGGAGCAAACAGGAUUAGAUACCCCUGUAGUC
This 460-nucleotide ribosomal RNA is filed under the name uncultured bacterium. Its description in RNAcentral is "partial 16S ribosomal RNA". It matches the Rfam family "Bacterial small subunit ribosomal RNA", at positions 338 to 795 of the family's 1533-position model. The record is from RNAcentral.